GUUAUAUGGUCAAGUGAAGAAGCGCAUACGGUGGAUGCCUUGGCAGUCAGAGGCGAUGAAAGACGUGGUAGCCUGCGAUAAGCUUUGGGGAGUCGGCAAACAGACUGUGAUCCAGAGAUCUCUGAAUGGGGGAACCCAGCCAGCACAAGCUGGUUAUCUUGUACUGAAUACAUAGGUGCAAGAGGCGAACCAGGGGAACUGAAACAUCUAAGUACCCUGAGGAAAAGAAAUCAACCGAGAUUCCCUUAGUAGUGGCGAGCGAACGGGGACCAGCCCUUAAGUUGAUUUGAGAUUAGUGGAACGCUCUGGAAAGUGCGGCCAUAGUGGGUGAUAGCCCCGUACACGAAAAUCUCUUGUCAAUGAAAUCGAGUAGGACGGAGCACGAGAAACUUUGUCUGAAUAUGGGGGGACCAUCCUCCAAGGCUAAAUACUACUGACUGACCGAUAGUGAACCAGUACCGUGAGGGAAAGGCGAAAAGAACCCCGGAGAGGGGAGUGAAAUAGAACCUGAAACCGUAUGCGUACAAGCAGUGGGAGCCUACUUUGUUAGGUGACUGCGUACCUUUUGUAUAAUGGGUCAGCGACUUAUAUUCAGUGGCGAGCUUAACCGAAUAGGGGAGGCGUAGCGAAAGCGAGUCUUAAUAGGGCGUUUAGUCGCUGGGUAUAGACCCGAAACCGGGCGAUCUAUCCAUGGGCAGGUUGAAGGUUAGGUAACACUGACUGGAGGACCGAACCGACUACCGUUGAAAAGUUAGCGGAUGACCUGUGGAUCGGAGUGAAAGGCUAAUCAAGCUCGGAGAUAGCUGGUUCUCCUCGAAAGCUAUUUAGGUAGCGCCUCAUGUAUCACUGUAGGGGGUAGAGCACUGUUUCGGCUAGGGGGUCAUCCCGACUUACCAAACCGAUGCAAACUCCGAAUACCUACAAGUGCCGAGCAUGGGAGACACACGGCGGGUGCUAACGUCCGUCGUGAAAAGGGAAACAACCCAGACCGUCAGCUAAGGUCCCAAAGUCAUGGUUAAGUGGGAAACGAUGUGGGAAGGCUUAGACAGCUAGGAGGUUGGCUUAGAAGCAGCCACCCUUUAAAGAAAGCGUAAUAGCUCACUAGUCGAGUCGGCCUGCGCGGAAGAUGUAACGGGGCUCAAACCAUGCACCGAAGCUACGGGUAUCAUCUUAUGAUGAUGCGGUAGAGGAGCGUUCUGUAAGCCUGUGAAGGUGAGUUGAGAAGCUUGCUGGAGGUAUCAGAAGUGCGAAUGCUGACAUGAGUAACGACAAUGCGAGUGAAAAACUCGCACGCCGAAAGACCAAGGUUUCCUGCGCAACGUUAAUCGACGCAGGGUUAGUCGGUCCCUAAGGCGAGGCUGAAAAGCGUAGUCGAUGGAAAACAGGUUAAUAUUCCUGUACUUCCAGUUAUUGCGAUGGAGGGACGGAGAAGGUUAGGCCAGCCUGGCGUUGGUUGUCCAGGUUUAAGGUGGUAGGCUGAAAUCUUAGGCAAAUCCGGGAUUUCAAGGCCGAGAGCUGAUGACGAGUUGCCUCCAGGCGACGAAGUGGUUGAUACCAUGCUUCCAAGA
Molecule: ribosomal RNA, 1568 nt
Filed under: Pseudomonas sp. RW405
Lineage: Bacteria; Pseudomonadati; Pseudomonadota; Gammaproteobacteria; Pseudomonadales; Pseudomonadaceae
Description: bacterial LSU rRNA
Rfam family: Bacterial large subunit ribosomal RNA
Source: RNAcentral